This 497-nucleotide ribosomal RNA is filed under the name uncultured bacterium. Its description in RNAcentral is "partial 16S ribosomal RNA". It matches the Rfam family "Bacterial small subunit ribosomal RNA", at positions 28 to 507 of the family's 1533-position model. The record is from RNAcentral.
GAUGAACGCUGGCGGCGUGCCUAAUACAUGCAAGUCGAGCGAACAGAUGAGGAGCUUGCUCCUCUGACGUUAGCGGCGGACGGGUGAGUAACACGUGGAUAACCUACCUAUAAGACUGGGAUAACUUCGGGAAACCGGAGCUAAUACCGGAUAAUAUAUUGAACCGCAUGGUUCAAUAGUGAAAGACGGUUUUGCUGUCACUUAUAGAUGGAUCCGCGCCGCAUUAGCUAGUUGGUAAGGUAACGGCUUACCAAGGCAACGAUGCGUAGCCGACCGGAGAGGGUGAUCGGCCACACUGGAACUGAGACACGGUCCAGACUCCUACGGGAGGCAGCAGUAGGGAAUCUUCCGCAAUGGGCGAAAGCCUGACGGAGCAACGCCGCGUGAGUGAUGAAGGUCUUCGGAGCGUAAAACUCUGUUAUUAGGGAAGAACAAAUGUGUAAGUAACUGUGCACGUCUUGACGGUACCUAAUCAGAAAGCCACGGCUAACUACGUG